GCCUGACUAGCUCAGUUGGUAGAGCGUGUAGCUUUUGAUCUCAGGUUCAUGAGUUUGAGCCACAUGUUGGGCC
Molecule: transfer RNA, 73 nt
Filed under: Mustela putorius furo (domestic ferret)
Lineage: Eukaryota; Metazoa; Chordata; Mammalia; Carnivora; Mustelidae
Rfam family: tRNA
About the family: Transfer RNA (tRNA) molecules are approximately 80 nucleotides in length.
Source: Rfam by way of RNAcentral